AUACGGAGGAUGCAAGCGUUAUCCGGAUUUAUUGGGUUUAAAGGGUGCGUAGGCGGUUUGCUAAGCGGGAGGUGAAAUGCCGGCGCUCAACGUCGGAAGUGCCUCCCGAACUGGUGGACUUGAAUGACUCUGCCGUGGGAGGAAUGUGUAGUGUAGCGGUGAAAUGCUUAGAGAUUACACAGAACACCGAUUGCGAAGGCAUCUCACGAAGGGUUGAUUGACGCUGAGGCACGAAAGCGUGGGGAUCAAACAGGAUUAGAUACCCUGGUAGUCCACGCAGUAAACGAUGAUGGCUAACCGCUGGGCUUAUCAGUUCAGUGGCCAAGCGAAAGCGAUAAGCCAUCCACCUGGGGAGUACGACCGCAAGGUUGAAACUCAAAUGAAUUGACGG
This 391-nucleotide ribosomal RNA is filed under the name uncultured bacterium. Its description in RNAcentral is "partial 16S ribosomal RNA". It matches the Rfam family "Bacterial small subunit ribosomal RNA", at positions 523 to 916 of the family's 1533-position model. The record is from RNAcentral.